This 93-nucleotide small nucleolar RNA is filed under the name Macleaya cordata. RNAcentral's name for it is "Small nucleolar RNA snoR100". It matches the Rfam family "Small nucleolar RNA snoR100". Lineage: Eukaryota; Viridiplantae; Streptophyta; Magnoliopsida; Ranunculales; Papaveraceae. The record is from Rfam by way of RNAcentral.
GAAUGAUGGAAGCAUGGUAAUGUGUACAGAGAUCAAUGGUAUACUAAUGUUUGCUCGCUUUGAUUUUGCAAGCCUAGAAUCAGUCCCACAUCU